Molecule: long non-coding RNA, 2923 nt
Filed under: Marmota monax (woodchuck)
Lineage: Eukaryota; Metazoa; Chordata; Mammalia; Rodentia; Sciuridae
Source: RNAcentral
GUGAUCUUUCACUUCCUGAAUUCUCUUUGAUUUCACUCCUUAUACUAUCCUGUAUUUCACAGAUCAGCUUAACUAUGUACAUUAUAAAAUCUUUCUCUGACAUUUCUUCUACUAUGCCGUCUAUGGAUUCUAUUGUUGGAACAUCUUGGUUUGUUUGAGGUGCUUUGUUCUCUUGGUUUUUUUUGGGGGGGAGGGGCGUUUCAUGUGUGUCUUCCCAUCUAGUGGUAUGGAUCUGAGGCAGUACUGUUUCUACCCUGUAAUCUUAUAGUGUCAUGAAGGCUACCAGUACCUCACCAUUAAGAGGGAGACCAAUAUUAACAGCACCAAUGCAAAUAAUAUACAAACUUAAACUUAAUAGCUCCUGUUAAGGCAUCUACAGUUCUAUCUCAAUAGACAGAAAUUAUGUGUUCCAUCAUUGUCUGCAAUAUAAACAGUAAGUUUGUUAAAAGCAUUUACCAUUUCAAAUGAUGGACAAAGAUGGAACAGAAGUAGUGUAGGAUGUGAUGUUAUGAGGGAGGAGAGAGGAUAGAGGUAAAAAUUUAUAGUAAGGACUAAGGAGGAAUUAGUAGAGGUUAGCUGUUAGCAUGAGAGAAAUGAGAAAGAAAAUAUAAGGAGACAUAUUAGAGAGAGAAAAAAUAUAUACAGAUUUUUUUAAGUCAAAAAUAUAAGAAUAUACAACUAAACCGUAAUAUACUAUUUGACUUCCCACUCUUCAAUAAAUUGAUGUGUAAAAAAUGUUUUAAUUCUGAGAUAGUAGAGAUGUGAGAGAGAGGGGAAAGAAAAAAAAAGAAAAGAAAGAAAAGUCUCUAUGGGAAAUUGCCAAUUGCAUUCAUUGGCUUUCAAAAAUUUUCUCAGCUUUCCUUCUCUACUGGUAGGUUGGGACUGUCUGAUGUUUGAUAGUAACUCUAGUCUGGUGGGUGUCACACCAGUUGGCAGUGCCAGCAGAUAGCAAGAUUCUCUCAUACCCUCUUCCAGUCUUCCCACCCAUUGUAGCCAGGGCCUGUGAUCACGGCUCACUUCAGGACUUUUACUAAGCAGAUGAGAGCCCAGUUUUCUCAAGUUUCUCCAACAUGUGCCCCCCCCCAGAGAAUUUCCUCCAGUCUCUGUCUUUCCACAGGCUUCUCAGGCCCAGACUGGCACACACAGACCCUGCUGCAAUCUGAUGGACCUGAGCUUCAGCUUCCCCAGGCUCAGCCUUGCUGCAGUACUGCGAUCUCUAAGCUCUUCCAACUUGCAGAAAGACCACCAGGGAUACACUCAUACAAAGGAGCAAUCCUGCAAAGAGGCCACUAGCACACCCAGCAGAUGGUGGCCACUAGCACACCCAGCAGGAAGACCUCAGGUGCAACCAGACCUUCAGGUACCCCAACAAUAUAUUAUACAAACCUGGACAGUGUCCCCAGACUGAGGCAGCUGCACCCUGAGAUAGUGGAGGUAGCUGCAGCAAACCUGCAGGCCCCUUGGCUCUGGACCCCCAGACCCUGGCUGGUGUCCCAAAAUGGCAGCUGCCAUGUGCAGCCAAACCUGCGGGUACCCUGACAAUGGAUUUCCAAGCAGCAGCAGGCACUCCAUGGUCAGUCUGGGGUACUCUGCAGCCAAACGUCAGAUGCUCGGCAGGUAGAUGUCAGGUGGCUGGUGAUGUGCAGGGUAAAGUAAGCAAUGGACACCUGGAAUGUGGAUCAGUGGUGGCAGAGGCCUAUAGACUCCAAACAUCCCUCUCAGAUCCCAAGAGGAAACUGUCUUUAAAACUUUGGUCCUUUAAGGCUGCUGUUAUUGUGACUAUUAACUUUACCCACUUCUUGGUACACUGCUUUCAUUCUCUUAGUUUAAAUUUCUGCCCAAGAUAUGUUGAUAUUACCCUCAUUCAUCCUAGAUACAACUGAGUUUCCAGAUUUGGGGCAUUUUCAACUUCUAGAAUUUGAUGUUUUCAACCCCUAGGAAUUUCUACUCAUACCUAAACUAUGCUUGAAGUAAAUAAGAUGAAAUCUUAACUUUAACCAUUCCAUAAGCAAUUCUCUUGCUCUGUGGCUUCUACCACAUCUCCAUGCAUCAAAUUCCUGAUCCACCAGAGCUGCAGUCAUUGGGUCUCUCUUCUUUCCCCUGUGAAGUUCCCAUACAAGCAAUGUAUUCACAUUGCAUUGAAUAAUAGAGUAAAUGAAAACUGGUAAGACUCCUCUCAUUCUGCAUUUCUCCUGUAACUGACCUGCUUCUGGGUGAGGCCUGUCAUUUCCCCCUAUUGGUCUGUCCUUGUACCAACUACCUAGGAGAAACAUGUCUAUAAUGAGAAGUAAUUGUUCUACUUGUGCUUACAUGAAUCCAUUCUUUUAGAACUGAGUAUCCAACCAAAAGACUCAUUUGGUCUGUAAUAAAGCUUAAGGUAUUACAAGGUUUUAAGAACGUGCUAAGCAGGUCAAAAUCUAGGCAACUAGAAACCUCAAGUAUAAAAAAAUCAUUGUUUUUUCAUUAUGACUUCAGUGACCAAGAUGGUUGUCUCCCCAACAUCCCUUUCCCUCAAGAUUAUUUCUUUGGGUCACUUACCUUAAUUCAUUUGGCCUUACCAUGUGGUAACCAUGGAAAAAACCCAGUACUAGGUAAUCCACAUGAGAAGAAUCCUGCUGGAGGCUGCCUUCCCUGUAAAUGUCUAAGAAGUUUAUUAUACAAAGACGUGACUCCUCCUCCUACACUGGUUAUUGAGCUGCUGUGCUGGGUGGUCUGCUGUCAGUCUGAGAAUGAUGUCAACCCCCAGAAAUGGAAGAGCCAGGAGCAGACGGGAGAAUUUCUGGACACUCAUGAACAAGAUCCAAAACUUAUUCUUUCUUUGGGUUUUUGUUAUAGAAAUAAAUCUGUCUAUGAGGUUUAAGCCAAAAUGAUAUUUUUGUAAGCUUUUUUUGCCUUGAUGUAGCCAAACAAAAGCAACCACCAG